GACGAACGCUGGCGGCGUGCUUAACACAUGCAAGUCACGGGGGCUCGCAACGAGCAACCGGCGAACGGGUGCGUAACACGUGAGCAACCUGCCUUUGUGUGGGGGAUAGCCGGGCUAACGCCCGGGUAAUACCGCAUACGGUUCUCGAGGGGAGUCCCUUGGGAAAGAAACCUCCGGGGCACAGAGAGGGGCUCGCGGCCUAUCAGCUUGUUGGCGGGGUAAUGGCCCACCAAGGCGACGACGGGUAGCUGGCUGAGAGGAUGGCCAGCCACAUUGGGACUGAGAGACGGCCCAGACUCCUACGGGAGGCAGCAGUGGGGAAUCUUGCGCAAUGGCCGAAAGGCUGACGCAGCGACGCCGCGUGUGGGAGGACGCCUUU
RNAcentral lists this ribosomal RNA (379 nucleotides) under uncultured bacterium. Its description in RNAcentral is "bacterial SSU rRNA". It matches the Rfam family "Bacterial small subunit ribosomal RNA", at positions 28 to 418 of the family's 1533-position model. The record is from RNAcentral.